This 1239-nucleotide long non-coding RNA is filed under the name Gadus morhua (Atlantic cod). RNAcentral describes it as "lncRNA (ENSGMOG00000035613.1)". Lineage: Eukaryota; Metazoa; Chordata; Actinopteri; Gadiformes; Gadidae. The record is from RNAcentral.
GUGACUGGGGGGCGGAGCUUAUCGGUUCUCCUGGGAAGUUCGGCAGGUACAGACCAGAGGGAACCCGCCCGGCCGACGUUAGUAGGCUGUUAUCUUUUUUGGUCAGGAAAAAAGGUCUCCAAUUUGAGCAAGCGGGGGGCGAUCCCGGCGUCAGGGCGGAUGGAAUCGUCGAAGCGCGUGUCUGACUGGUCGGUGGACGAGGUGUUGGAGUGGGUGGAGCAGCAGUUCCCGGGUCAGCAAAGCACGCUGCAGACGGCCUUUCUGCAGCACGCAGUGUCAGGCCGAGCGCUGCUGCGGAUGAGGGGGCACCACCUACACCACCUGGGGGUGGAGGCCCCGGCCCAGCAGGGCAUCCUGCAGGACAUCCUGCUCCUCCGGGUGCAGGAGGAGCUGGACAAUCUCAACGACAUCUUCUCGGAAUGCUUUGCUUCAUGAAUGAAGACCCACAACAGCCAAAACAUUUCUGCCAUGCCAGACAUUAUUUGCCUUCCAAAUCCGACCCCAGUGGAGGAAGAGUGCAUUGGAGAGACUGACAAGAAGGGAGUGAGGGACUGAUUGAGCAGGUCAGCCAGAUCGCAGGCACGCAAGUGAGCAACAGAAAGACAAUUCGCCCGUUUCCUGUGUGAAAUCGUGUCCUGUUCAAGAGAGACCAGACUAUGCUGUUUUCGUCCGGGUUGUGUCCUCUCUCUCUCUCUCUCUCUCUGUCUCUCUCUCUGUCUCUGUGGAGUGCACUGGCUUGCAGCCAUUUCAGCAGCGGAGGAGAACAUAAUUUCCCACAGCUUGUCUGCCACCCAGCCCGCCUCCCACUAAUCAUGACCAGUCGCAAAUUGACUUUUUGGGGCUUUUUGUCCAUCACAACCACGGAACCACCAUACAUCUGGCCUAUAGAGUAACGAAGUGAGCUGUGGGAAAGAGGAGCAAAAAGCUAACUACACAAACAGGAAUGAGAAUGAGGCAGUUAGUGUCGAGCUCCCAAGUAAAGACAUUCAAGAAGAGGUUGGAGUGGUUGUCAAGGUUCGGACCAUCUAACUAAUGUUCAACCCAAAACUGCGCUCUCCAUAAUGAGAACUGAUGGAUACGAUAUGCAUCUGUGUUUAUUUAACCAUCGGUAUCGCUUUCAAAAUAUCCGAUGCAAAAUACUUGGGAGAUCGUAAUCUCUUCACAAUGCCAUUGCUGUUCACUGCCUGAAUAAAAACAUCCAAACUUAGAAUUGGUUUGGACAAUAACACAAGCAAAAAU